UACGAAGGGGACUAGCGUUGUUCGGAAUCACUGGGCGUAAAGCGCACGUAGGCGGAUAUGUCAGUCAGGGGUGAAAUCCCGGGGCUCAACCUCGGAACUGCCUUUGAUACAGCAUAUCUUGAGUCCGAUAGAGGUGGGUGGAAAUUCCUAGUGUAGAGGUGAAAUUCGUAGAUAUUAGGAAGAACACCGGUGGCGAAGGCGGCCCACUGGAUCGGUAUUGACACUGAGGCACGAAAGCGUGGGGAGCAAACAGG
RNAcentral lists this ribosomal RNA (254 nucleotides) under uncultured bacterium. RNAcentral describes it as "partial 16S ribosomal RNA". It matches the Rfam family "Bacterial small subunit ribosomal RNA", at positions 524 to 776 of the family's 1533-position model. The record is from RNAcentral.